RNAcentral lists this ribosomal RNA (466 nucleotides) under uncultured bacterium. Its description in RNAcentral is "bacterial SSU rRNA". It matches the Rfam family "Bacterial small subunit ribosomal RNA", at positions 917 to 1382 of the family's 1533-position model. The record is from RNAcentral.
GGACCCGCACAAGCAGCGGAGCAUGUGGUUUAAUUCGAAGCAACGCGAAGAACCUUACCAAGGCUUGACAUCCCCUUGACCGGCACAGAGAUGUGCCCUCUCCUUCGGGAGCAAGGGUGACAGGUGGUGCAUGGUUGUCGUCAGCUCGUGUCGUGAGAUGUUGGGUUAAGUCCCGCAACGAGCGCAACCCUUAUCCUUAGUUGCCAGCAUUUAGGUGGGCACUCUAAGGAGACUGCCGAUGAUAAAUCGGAGGAAGGUGGGGAUGACGUCAAAUCAUCAUGCCCCUUAUGUCUUGGGCUACACACGUGCUACAAUGGUCGGUACAAAGGGCAGCGAAGGAGUGAUCUGGAGCAAAUCCCAAUAAACCGAUCUCAGUUCGGAUUGUAGGCUGCAACUCGCCUACAUGAAGUCGGAGUUGCUAGUAAUCGCGAAUCAGAACGUCGCGGUGAAUGCGUUCCCGGGUCUU